UUGACUUUCCAGGGUUUAAAACCCAUCAAGGCUGAAAAGGAGUGCCAAGGUUCAUGACCUUCAAGGUAAGGUAUCAAUACCAGAGUUUAUUACUGAUGAUGUCAAGGAAUUGAAUUGUCAAGGUUUAACACAUACAGGGCGAAUAGAAUCAAGUGCUAGAGUUAAUGGCUCUCAGGGCAAAGGAUUGAAUUAAAUAAACAAGGUUUAACGCUUCACAAGGUAAAAGAGACCGAUAUUCCAGAGUCCAUGACUCUCAAGGGAAAG
This 264-nucleotide long non-coding RNA is filed under the name Lathyrus oleraceus (garden pea). RNAcentral's name for it is "Pisum sativum (pea) long non-coding RNA (PSAT_LNC006620)". The record is from RNAcentral. Lineage: Eukaryota; Viridiplantae; Streptophyta; Magnoliopsida; Fabales; Fabaceae.